Molecule: ribosomal RNA, 227 nt
Filed under: uncultured bacterium
Lineage: Bacteria
Description: partial 16S ribosomal RNA
Rfam family: Bacterial small subunit ribosomal RNA
Source: RNAcentral
UACGUAGGGUGCGAGCGUUAAUCGGAAUUACUGGGCGUAAAGUGUGCGCAGGCGGCGUUGCAAGUCGAGUGUGAAAUCCCCCGAGCUUAACUUGGGAAUUGCGCUCGAAACUACGAUGCUCGAGUAUGGCAGAGGAAGGUGGAAUUCCACGUGUAGCGGUGAAAUGCGUAGAGAUGUGGAGGAACACCGAUGGCGAAGGGCAGCCCCCUGGCUAACACUGGACGCUC